GGCUGGAGGCCUUCUCAACACACCUAGCGACCGUUCUGAGACACCCACUGAUGAUCGGUGGCUGAUCGCAAAGCUCGCUGGAGCCCCGCUGGUGACUCCAUGGGACAAGCUGAAGAUCUCAGACGACGCGGUGGGCUUCCUGUCGCCCCCCAAGAAGCGUUCAGAAGCUACAUCGUUGUCGAGCCCGACCUCGACACUGGUGGCUGCCUGGUCCCCUCAGGCGGUGACUGCACCGCCGCUGAAAACGCGCAAGGCAUCCCAGGAGCUAAUCUGCAUCUGAAACUAGCGGUGCCUGUGUUCCGGUUGCUUAUCUUUGUAGUGGCUUUUAGCCGUCGUUUUCUUCUUUUCUGAACUGCUCCCCUUAGUGAGCUUAUGUAAUAACUGAAUCUGAUCUGAACUUGGUUUCAUUAAUAUAAUGGAACCGGGGAAAAGAUUCCCUGUUCUUCAAAAAAUAUCUGUUGCCACUACAAAUUCCAAUUCCCGCACGUCCGAGGUGAGGAAGAAGAGAAGAGGAGAUAGGGGCGUCUCCUAUUUCCUGCCACUGUUUUGCAAGUGGAUAUAAGGCUAUGGCCCCUUGCUCCAGGCCCGCUGUCCACGGCAGCCAGGGGCUCUCCCAUCGGUGGUGGCUGCCCAUCACUCAGACCUCCUAUUUCUCGCCGGCGGGUGAGCUGAUUUGGGGGCUGCUGCUUGACUGCUUGACUGCUUGAGGCCUAGGCUGCCUCUGCAGGCACAAUACAGUAAUGUUUGAUGAGCAGCAAUAGCACCAGUCAGGCAUUGCCAGCCGCAGAGAGAAUAUCACCCAUACAGAAGCAUGCCUUUCUCUGUUUGUCCAUGGCAUUUCUUUAAAAAAAAUCUCGGACUGGGUUAUCCUCAGAUGUAAAAUCAGAAAGAAAGUCACGAGUAAGAAACUAAAUUUGAUGAGGGAGGAGAAAUCACAGUUGGUAGUUAUCACAUAUUGAUCUCUCUAACAUUGCAGAUAUGCAAAUUUUCAAGACAAUACGUCUUUUAUAGCUUUCAGAAUUUUUCGUUCACCAAAUCAGUACUCGACCAGUCCACCUUAUUAACAUUACAAUCACCGUUAUCGCUAUUAUGUUCCAAUAUUUUGCGCUGGAGGAUUUAUUCCAAAAAUAAUCUCAUAUAUGUGCAUUCAGAAAAAAGCAAAGUCAAGUCUGAAGAUAUGACUGAAUUCUGAACCUAUCUGAGGGGUGAACUGGUGACAAAUCUGGAGGCGAUUCUGUAGUUAAAAGUAGUCUUGAUUCGUAUUUAGGUUAUACCUGUAGACCUCUUUAAGGAUAAUAAAUAAUUGAGGCGGAGCUGCAUAUGGCUAUCUUAUUUCUGACCGUCAGACUUCUAUUUGGGUUGUCAUUUACAUAACUAACAUGGGCUACGAUGCAUGUGCAAUGGGCUACUCAUCUGCAUUUUGUCUUUACUUUGGUGAUUCUUCUACUCCCUCCGAUCCAUAAUAAGUGUCAUGGUAUUAAAUCAAAUUUAAACUAACACCAAGACACUUAUUAUGGAUCAGAGGGUGAACUAAAACCACGACACUAAUUAUAGAUUGGAGGGAACAUUAUUUUCUACCUUGCUCGGUCAAGAUAUAAUUCUACUUUCAUUCUGCUUGCCUUUAAUAAUAUACUUUACAACAUAGUUGUGUUGUACAUGAUGAUAGUUGAUGCCAUCAUAGAUACUACACCAUACGGAUUCACCACUGUCUUAGCUAUGCUAUGCUCUACAGAUAAUGAGCAAAGUAGUUGCCUUAGUAACAUCAUUUUUUGUUGGCUCAUGUCAUUAUCAGUUGCAUGUUCUCAGUUUACAAUUCCUUUUUCAGUUUAUAUAUGUAUGCAUACACCCAGUUUGCACAUUCCACUAUCCAAAUUUUCUUAAGUACUUGUACCCUACAGAUCUUAACAAAUAUUUGUAUCGCUGUUUUGUCAUGGUUGAGCAUGGAAACAUGUGACUUUGAUGAUCUUACAACACCAGAUUUACGUUUCAUGGUAUUAUCCUAUGGAAAACAAUUGUUGCUUUGUGUUUAUUCAGAAAGUUAAAGUUAUUACUUUUCUUAAUUUUCUAAUGACUUGACAUUUAAUGUAACUAUGAAUACAUGAAAAAUACCAUAUCAUUCUAUUGAACAAAGGAAUGGGCGCAGCAACGCGCGCCAUCAUUCAUCUAGUUUGUGUUUAGAGUUGUGUUGUGAUAUCAUCCCGUGAGUCUCUGAUCUUGGUCGUACACAUUUGCGUGCAUGAUUAGUGUACGAUUGAAUCGGGGGCAUCACGCCUGCUGCCUCGCCUUCCUCCACAGGCAAUUGCACAGUUUGCCAGACUUUGGGGUGAUGUCGCGAGAGUGCGGUUGCGGCAUGAUACGGCUGACUCAAUGACUUGGAGGUGGACGACCAACGGCAUGUUCUCUUCUACUACCGCCUAUGCUGCGCAAUUCGAGGGGGGCACUCGCUUCAACGGACAACAGCUGCUUUGGUUAGCUGACGCGUCGCUCAAGUGGUGUAUCUUUGCGUGGCUUACGAUUCUGGGUAAAUGCCUGAUGGCAAAAAACUUAAGAAGGGAUGGCCUCGCGAUCCGGUUUGUUGCCUGUGCCGCACGGCGGACGAGGACUCUCCUUCACAUGUUGGCUCGCUGCCCCUUUGUCCAAUCUCUUUGGGGCCUCAUGUUACGCAGCUGCAACCUACUUGCAACCUUGGGGCCAACGUCCGCGACAUCAUGCCUUGUUGAUUGGUGGGCCAACACCAUCAAUGUUGCGUCCAACAAGAUGGGAUGGAACGACAUCGUGGUGGUCUGGUGAUUCACCUAGAAAGAAAGAAAUGCAAGAAUUUUCAGGCACGUGAUAUGAUAUCCCCUAUCAAUAAUGGAUUCAACUCAAUGCAUGAUGAAGUAUUGAUUUGGUCCCAGGCGAGUCGCCGCAAGAUCAUGUCCCCACCAGAGCGACCACUAGAGUCGGAAUGAUCACCUCACAUCUGCUGAUGUUGUUUGCAGCGCAA
This is a long non-coding RNA of Triticum dicoccoides, 2986 nucleotides long. RefSeq lists it as uncharacterized. The record is from RefSeq and is a predicted model, not a curated record. Lineage: Eukaryota; Viridiplantae; Streptophyta; Magnoliopsida; Poales; Poaceae. The transcript is spliced from 2 exons.